RNAcentral lists this ribosomal RNA (247 nucleotides) under uncultured archaeon. RNAcentral describes it as "partial 16S ribosomal RNA". It matches the Rfam family "Archaeal small subunit ribosomal RNA", at positions 384 to 633 of the family's 1478-position model. The record is from RNAcentral.
AGUGCCAUCCGCUGAGGAAGGCUUUUACCCAGUCUAGAACGCUGGGGGAAUAAGGAGAGGGCAAGUCUGGUGUCAGCCGCCGCGGUAAUACCAGCUCUUCGAGUGGUGUGGAUGUUUAUUGGGCCUAAAGCAUCCGUAGCUGGCUAAGUUAGUCCCUUGUUAAAUCCACCGAAUUAAUCGUUGGAUCGCGGGGGAUACUGCUUGGCUAGGGGACGAGAGAGGCAGACGGUAUUUUCGGGGUAGGGGU